AAAAAUAAGGUGAAAAACCAAUUAGCUGUGUCUUGUGAAACUCUGUCCCUUGCUAUAAAAUGUCUAACAUAGGAUAGACAAUCACAAUUGGGGAAGAAAAUUGAGGCUUAAAAAAUUAAUUGCACCAAUAUAGGAUAGGAAAGACUUGGCUUAACAAUUUGUGUGAAGCAACUGCUAAUUUUAACGGAUGACAAACAUGAAAAAUUCAUGCAUUUUUAUAUAGCAAUAUUAGAAACAUAAUGUCAAGUUGAAAGGAGGUAACAGUAACAGUUAACUAGAACUCAUCACAAUUACAGCUAUUAAAAAUGGAACCGGCUAUCUAAAAGGGUCAUAAGACCACAGGAUUUAGAAGUAGAAGGUCAUCCAGUGCCACAUCUUCAUUUUGCAGAUGAGAACAAUGAAGCCCAAAGACAGAAAAUUGCUUGUCAACAAGACAGUCUACUCUAUGACUAUGUAUGAGAUAUAUACAAAAAAAACCAAAACUCACAAUGAAAGAAAGGAUGAAGAAAAUCUACAAACUGAACAAAUCAUUUUAACUUGGAUAUUUCAGUGAAGUGCUUCUUCCACUAUAAUGCUGCACUCAUAAUUGUUCAAUUUCUCUUUAAGUUUAUGCCUUCUAGUUAGCAGAUACAUCUUAGAAAGACUUUUCAAUAGACUAAACAUAGUAAUAAUAAACUGAUGUGAAGGAUUACUUUUUGUCAUGAAAAGGGGAAAAUGAAUGGGAAGAAACCCUACAGUUGUGGUAAAUGUUCAAACUAGACCCCGAUUUGUUUAUUUUUCUGUUGUCCUGUGCUAAUAAGUUUUUGCCUUACACCAUUUUCCAAUAAAAAUUUUGCAUUCAAAUGGUUUCCCUUACUAUUUUUACAUUUAUUUUCCAUCACAGCAGUACUUCUUCCUUUCUUUCCAUCAGCUGCCUGCUUGCUUUUUUCUACCCUGUCCUCUUCCUCCUUCUCCACGCAUUUACAUUUCUGGCUUGGCUUCAUUUAUUGCUGUUUAUUUCUUUCCUUUUUUUUAAAGGCAAUUGAAGUUAAGUGACUUGCCCAGGGUCACAC
Molecule: non-coding RNA, 1052 nt
Organism: Phascolarctos cinereus (koala)
Lineage: Eukaryota; Metazoa; Chordata; Mammalia; Diprotodontia; Phascolarctidae
Source: RefSeq, a predicted model, not a curated record